RNAcentral lists this ribosomal RNA (301 nucleotides) under uncultured bacterium. RNAcentral's name for it is "partial 16S ribosomal RNA". It matches the Rfam family "Bacterial small subunit ribosomal RNA", at positions 509 to 807 of the family's 1533-position model. The record is from RNAcentral.
CAGUAGCCGCGGGAAUACGUAGGGUGCGAGCGUUAAUCGGAAUUACUGGGCGUAAAGCGUGCGCAGGCGGUUCGUUAAGACAGAUGUGAAAUCCCCGGGCUUAACCUGGGAACUGCAUUUGUGACUGGCGAGCUAGAGUAUGGCAGAGGGGGGUAGAAUUCCACGUGUAGCAGUGAAAUGCGUAGAGAUGUGGAGGAAUACCGAUGGCGAAGGCAGCCCCCUGGGCCAAUACUGACGCUCAUGCACGAAAGCGUGGGGAGCAAACAGGAUUAGAUACCCGCGUAGUCCCUGUCUCUUAUAC